This 494-nucleotide ribosomal RNA is filed under the name uncultured bacterium. Its description in RNAcentral is "partial 16S ribosomal RNA". It matches the Rfam family "Bacterial small subunit ribosomal RNA", at positions 28 to 523 of the family's 1533-position model. The record is from RNAcentral.
GAUGAACGCUAGCGGCAGGCUUAACACAUGCAAGUCGAGGGGUAGAACACUUCGGUGUUUGAGACCGGCGCACGGGUGCGUAACGCGUAUGCAAUCUACCUUAUACAGGGGAAUAGCCCAGAGAAAUUUGGAUUAAUGCCCCAUAGCAUUACGACUUGGCAUCAAGAUGUAAUUAAAGUUCCAACGGUAUAAGAUGAGCAUGCGUCCCACUAGUUAGUUGGUAAGGUAACGGCUUACCAAGACGAUGAUGGGUAGGGGUCCUGAGAGGGAGAUCCCCCACACUGGUACUCGGACCCGGACCAGACUCCUACGGGCUGCAGCAGUGAGGAAUAUUGGUCAAUGGUCGAAAGACUGAACCAGCCAUGCCGCGUGCAGGAGGACGGUCCUAGGGAUUGUAAACUGCUUUUAUACAGGAAGAAACCCGCCCACGUGUGGGAGCUUGGCGGUACUGUAGGAAUAAGGAUCGGCUAACUCCAUGCCAGCAGCCGCCGUAA